UAGGGAAUAUUGGACAAUGGGCGCAAGCCUGAUCCAGCAAUGCCGCGUGAGUGAUGAAGGCCUUAGGGUUGUAAAGCUCUUUUACCCGAGAUGAUAAUGACAGUAUCGGGAGAAUAAGCCCCGGCUAACUCCGUGCCAGCAGCCGCGGUAAUACGGAGGGGGCUAGCGUUGUUCGGAAUUACUGGGCGUAAAGCGCACGUAGGCGGCGAUUUAAGUCAGGGGUGAAAGCCCAGUGCUCAACACUGGAACUGCCCUUGAGACUGGAUUGCUUGAAUCCGGGAGAGGUGAGUGGAAUUCCGAGUGUAGAGGUGAAAUUCGUAGAUAUUCGGAAGAACACCAGUGGCGAAGGCGGCUCACUGGACCGGCAUUGACGCUGAGGUGCGAAAGCGUGGGGAGCAAA
This 400-nucleotide ribosomal RNA is filed under the name uncultured bacterium. RNAcentral's name for it is "bacterial SSU rRNA". It matches the Rfam family "Bacterial small subunit ribosomal RNA", at positions 355 to 772 of the family's 1533-position model. The record is from RNAcentral.